UACGUAGGCAGCAAGCGUUGUUCGGAGUUACUGGGCGUAAAGAGUGCGUAGGCGGUUUUCCAAGUCUGUCGUGAAAUCUCCCGGCUUAACCGGGAGGGUGCGGUGGAAACUGGGAGGCUCGAGUGUGGGAGAGGUAAGCGGAAUUCCUGGUGUAGCGGUGAAAUGCGUAGAUAUCAGGAGGAACACCGGUGGUGUAGACGGCUUACUGGACCACGACUGACGCUGAGGCACGAAAGCGUGGGUAGCAAACAGG
Molecule: ribosomal RNA, 253 nt
Filed under: uncultured bacterium
Lineage: Bacteria
Description: partial 16S ribosomal RNA
Rfam family: Bacterial small subunit ribosomal RNA
Source: RNAcentral